Molecule: unclassified non-coding RNA, 351 nt
Filed under: soil metagenome
Description: partial contains 5.8S ribosomal RNA, internal transcribed spacer 2, and large subunit ribosomal RNA
Rfam family: 5.8S ribosomal RNA (bases 1-120)
Source: RNAcentral
GAUGAAGAACGUAGCGAAAUGCGAUAAGUAAUGUGAAUUGCAGAAUUCAGAGAAUCAUCGAAUCUUUGAACGCACAUUGCGCCCGCCAGUAUUCUGGCGGGCAUGCCUGUCUGAGCGUCAUUUCAACCCUCAGCCCCCGCUCGCGGGGCGCUGGCGUUGGGGAUCGGCCGUCCUCGCGGCGGCCGGCCCCGAAACACAGUGGCGGUCUCUCGCGGACUCCCCUGCGUAGUAGCACUACCUCGCAGAAGGGACGAGCGGGCUGACCACGCCGUAAAACCCCCCACUUCUCCAGGUUGACCUCAGAUCAGGUAGGAAUACCCGCUGAACUUAAGCAUAUCAAUAAGCGGAGGA